Molecule: long non-coding RNA, 512 nt
Filed under: Ictidomys tridecemlineatus (thirteen-lined ground squirrel)
Lineage: Eukaryota; Metazoa; Chordata; Mammalia; Rodentia; Sciuridae
Description: lncRNA (ENSSTOG00000034756.1)
Source: RNAcentral
ACCGCGCAGGUGGGCGCAGCCUUGGAAGGUCAGCGAGGCCAGAGCUCAGAGUUACCCCGGGGGCCGGGAGAGUGGGAGCCGGUGAAUGCCAGCUCCAAAUUCUCACAGAAGUACCAUGAUCGACACACCUACCAACCCCAAGACCAGACCACCAAGCCAGAGAUGGCAGUCAAGUUACAUUCUCAUAGCAGUGACUAUAGCAACCAGGUAACCUGAUUUCUGCUGGAAUAUCCCAGUUUGAUCACCAGAGCAAGUCAGAACAGUUGUGCAGACCUUAUCUCUUAAUUAAAUCCAGACCUUGAAGAUUCCUCUCCAUCAGGACUUCAUUUGUUCAUCAGAGAAGUAAUUAUGCUUCAUAAUCAGACAACUUGUGUGGUUCCUAUUCACUGCCCAUGUGACUUUUGACAAGUACUUCUAAAUUUCUGAGCCUGUUUUCUUUUAUAAAAUGGGAGUAUUAGUACCUACCUUCUAGAGGGGCUAUGAGAAUUCUCUGAGGUACCAUAAGGACAUGA